CCUACGGGGGGCAGCAGUGAGGAAUAUUGGUCAAUGGGAGGAAUCCUGAACCAGCCAUGCCGCGUGCAGGACGACGGCUCUACGAGUUGUAAACUGCUUUUGUACCGGGGUAAAAUGCCUUACGUGUAGGGUUUUGAAAGUACGGUACGAAUAAGGAUCGGCUAACUCCGUGCCAGCAGCCGCGGUAAUACGGAGGAUCCGAGCGUUAUCCGGAAUGAUUGGGCGUAAAGGGUGCGCAGGCGGUCCUGCAAGUCUGGAGGGAAACGGAUGAGCUCAACUCAUGCAUGGCUUUGGAAACUGGAGGACUGGAGAGCAGGAGAGGGCGGUGGAACUCCAUGUGUAGCGGUAAAAUGCGUAGAUAUAUGGAAGAACACCAGUGGCGAAGGCGGCCGCCUGGCCUGUUGCUGACGCUGAGGCACGAAAGCGUGGGGAGCAAAUAGGAUUAGAUACCCCUGUAGUC
Molecule: ribosomal RNA, 460 nt
Filed under: uncultured bacterium
Lineage: Bacteria
Description: partial 16S ribosomal RNA
Rfam family: Bacterial small subunit ribosomal RNA
Source: RNAcentral